UUCAUACUCUGAGUUAGGGCUGAGACUUA
RNAcentral lists this non-coding RNA (29 nucleotides) under Mus musculus (house mouse). The record is from RNAcentral. Lineage: Eukaryota; Metazoa; Chordata; Mammalia; Rodentia; Muridae.